RNAcentral lists this ribosomal RNA (205 nucleotides) under uncultured bacterium. RNAcentral's name for it is "partial 16S ribosomal RNA". It matches the Rfam family "Bacterial small subunit ribosomal RNA", at positions 568 to 774 of the family's 1533-position model. The record is from RNAcentral.
CACGUAGGCGGUGAAUCGGGUUGAAAGUGAAAGUCGCCAAAAACUGGCGGAAUGCUCUCGAAACCAAUUCACUUGAGUGAGACAGAGGAGAGUGGAAUUUCGUGUGUAGGGGUGAAAUCCGGAGAUCUACGAAGGAACGCCAAAAGCGAAGGCAGCUCUCUGGGUCCCUACCGACGCUGGAGUGCGAAAGCAUGGGGAGCGAACG